UCGUGACUCGAAGUUAAUCAGUGCAGCUGAGUGCGACCAGUGUUGAUAGUUCAUGAUAGCUCGAGUAGUUUUGGAUGAUUUGGACCACUUGGACUUUGGAAAUCUGUACACACCACACGAAAUUGGUUUGAUUUCGUAACAGUACAUAUACCUAUAUGCGUUAAUUUUUUUUUAUUUUUCGUUGGUACGUGAAAAAUAAGUAUGUUAUCGUUUUUUCGUAAAUUGUCGUUAUCGGACAAAGUUAAGGAAGGCAUACUGCCGUACGGAGUUAUGGCCACCCCAGAAGAUCUUUUGAAAGCUAAAAACCAGAGCAGUUUAUUAUUGAAGGAUGAAAAUGAGCUGAGGGAAACUAUUUAUGAUUUGCUCCGAACAAUAAAAGACCCCGAAAAACCCCAAACCCUUGAAGAACUGGAUGUUGUGUAUGAGGAUUGCGUCCACAUAAAUAAACCGACAACAAAAGGUGUCUCAGUGAUUCGAAUUGAGUUUAACCCAACAGUACCACACUGUUCCUUAGCUACGCUCAUCGGUCUCUGUAUCCGUGUUAAAUUAGAACGUCACUUAAUCGCUUCGUUCAAACUGGAUAUCUAUAUCAAGGAAGGGGCUCAUGCAACAGAAGAUGAAAUUAACAAACAAAUAAACGACAAAGAACGAAUCGCCGCUGCAAUGGAAAACCCUAACUUGAGAGAUCUUGUUGAGAAGUGUAUUCAAGAGGAAGAAUGACCUGAUUAAAUUAUAUCGAUUUUACAUACCUGACUGGCUUUGCAUUUGGAAUGUCUUCCGCAUAUAUGCUGGGAUGAUUGUUGGGGAUCUUUUGGUGUGUUUGAAAAUUCGAUGUUCAUCUCACAAAAAUAGUUAAUUCCUUCGAUUGGUGAGACAACUAUUUCUUCAUUCAAAUCUUUCCAGCACUUCUCACCUGAAUCAUACAAUAAAAUUACUAAAUGUCUUGUUAAGUUCCGGUAAUCUUUUUAUUUCCAAUUAAAAGUCAAUCACACAGAGACCUGAGUUGAUAGCACAAAUUUGGAGACAAUCAAAAAUAACAUUUGGAACAAACUAUGUUGCGACAUUUAUAUUUUUAUUCUGAAUACCACAUCAAUCUUACAUGCUCGAAGUUGUCGCUACAUUUGAUAUCUUUGGCAAUUAAAACAACAUGUCGCUCCAAAGUGUAGAUCCAAUCACUGAUCAUUCGGGAAACAAAUUUCUUCACCUCAAACAAGUUUGUGGUAUCUGUCACCUUUUUUACCAUGAGUAACUGUUUGGCCAGUACUUUUUGGGGAUCUCGUAAUCCAUGAUUCUUCAAAUAUUUUAAGACCGAUUUUCUAGACGCGUGAAUAAGUUCAAUUUAAAUAAUUUCAAUGCUCAUUUCACAUCCAUGACAGCUGGAGCUUUUAGUAAGUUUUGCAUAUGUAUCACCUGAUUAUUCGACGUGAUGUAAUUAUGAAAAUUGUACAGAGAAACCCGAUGAUGUCAAUGUUGUUUACUGGUAUGACAUUCAGUAAAUUUAAUAUUACUGAAAACGAAGAUGGGCUGUUCACAAACCUGGCCAGAAGCACCAUCAAAGUAUCUUUGAUCUGUGGAAAAUAUGUAGUAAUUGUAUACAAUUAAACAGCAUUUAGAAUA
RNAcentral lists this unclassified non-coding RNA (1617 nucleotides) under Neodiprion pinetum (white pine sawfly). Its description in RNAcentral is "mIP18 family protein galla-1, transcript variant X5". The record is from RNAcentral. Lineage: Eukaryota; Metazoa; Arthropoda; Insecta; Hymenoptera; Diprionidae.